This 117-nucleotide ribosomal RNA is filed under the name Rothia amarae. The record is from RNAcentral. Lineage: Bacteria; Bacillati; Actinomycetota; Actinomycetes; Micrococcales; Micrococcaceae.
UGCGGUGAUUAUAUCGCAGGGGAAACGCCCGGUUCCAUCCCGAACCCGGAAGCUAAGACCUGUUGAGCCGAUGGUACUGCACUGGGGACGGUGUGGGAGAGUAGGUUAUCGCCGCAU